Cinara cedri is the source of this 14033-nucleotide non-coding RNA. Lineage: Eukaryota; Metazoa; Arthropoda; Insecta; Hemiptera; Aphididae. The record is from the annotation of a GenBank genome assembly.
GUUCAUUUUAUAAUUUGUAAAGUACCUACGAAACAUUUAUACAUUUACAAUGAAACGUAUAAUUAUAAUUUCGUUAAUUCUUACUUCAGUAUUUGUCCACACAGCAUACGGUAAAUAUCUAAAUUUUUAAUAUAAAUUAUUUAUUUAUAAAAUAAAAUGAAUAAGAGCUAAUACAGUAAGUAUUUCGUAUGCAAUCACGAAAGUGAAAAAAGUGCGUAUGGAAUAUUAAUGUAUGGUAUCGUAUUUGUUUAACCUUAAGAUAAUAAUAAUAAUAAAAUACUAUACUAUACUAUAAAAGAACUAAUACUGAGGACACGGGUGCAGACAAUGUUGAANAUUUAAUUUAUGCUCGUAGGCAACAGUAAACUAUUGAUAAAGAAAAAUGUUUCGAAACGAAGUUCUGUUAUAAAUGUUUUAAAAGGCCAUAAUAUUAACGAUGUUUGUUAAAAUUGUAUAUUAACUCUUAUAAAUAAAAAUUAUAUUACUAUUUUACACCAAUUUUUUUUUUUUACUUUUUCUAAAAUCUUAGUAAAUAUAAUAAUGAAUCUCUGUCUAAUUUUCAAGCAUUUCUAUUAGUCUAUUAACUUAAUCCACCAAGUACCUGCCAAAUAAAAAUUACGUAAAAAACCGGCAAAAAUUAUAACGUCUAAAUCUACAAAGAUUGCUCAAAAAGAGCUCAAAUAUUUUGAUAAUUUGAAGACAUCUAGAAAAAACAAACAUAAGAUUUCUGUCAAUAUUUUGAGUCUCUGCAAAUAUUUUUAACUCAAUAACAUUUUAAAAACGAAAUUUCAAAAAAUAAAAUAAAUAUUAUUAUGAAUUUUCCCGUACUUUUAAAUAAUACAAUUUUUAGGUCAUAAUUGGAAAAAAAAAAUUGUAUCCCAUGUUUUUUAUUUUUUUACCCAAUUAUUAUAAAAACUACUUUGGAUAUCAAAAAACGACUUUUUCUGUUAGUGGCUACCAAUUUUUUAAUUGGGGCAAUAUUUCUGGCAUAAAACCUAGUGAACAGAAAUCAAAAAAAAAAAAACGAAAACGAUGGCGCCAUGACAUGCCGUAAAUAUUUGACUUUUUACACAUAAUUUUUUUUCUGAUUUUUCCCAUAUAUUUUGAAAAUAAUUUAGAUAUUAAAAAUAUGACCGUCCAAAUGUAGCAACUGGAAAACAUUAUUUUUCAGAAAAAUUUCUAAUCGAUACUUCAGAGCAAGUGUUGUGUCAGAAAAAUUAAACAUACACACAAAAAAUAAAAAACCACAUCAUAGAAAAACCAAUGUAUACCCUCGCUAUGCUUCAUAUCUAAAAUAACAUAUUCUAAUCUUUAAAUAUUAAUUUUUUCAACAAUUAUUUUUAUGUUUAAUGUAUAGUUGUAUAUAUUACGACUUAAUAAUUGAAAUUUAGCUUAUAGAAUUUAACAGGAUUUUAAAUCUUAGUAUAGAUGUUAAGAAUAAAUAAUACACUCUAGACAUUCUUGUUAAUUUAUAUUUUUAUUUUAUUUUAUUUAUAUAAAAUUAAAAUUUUAUACUAUCCAAUAAGAUAAAGAAUAUACAAUACAAGAAAAAAUGUGUUCAUGUCAUUUGUAUAGUCGCGUUUUGUUUAUCGAACGAGCAACAUGUAUGUUCCGCUCUCGAAUUUUGAAUAUACGCGUUCGUUUAGUAAUACACUAACUAUGAAUAUGUCUUCGCCUUUGACACACGCGUGUGGGGGCAUGGAUCGUCUUUCGGAAUAUCUGUGAGGGGUCAGGUUUUAGUUGACCAUGCAAUUAUACUACAAAUACAACAAGAUAACGAAAAACUUAAGUAAGCUUGUGACCCAAUUACAAGUGAGCAAUGCACAACUACAGAGUGAAUUAUUACAUUUCCAAGUGAGUAAUAUUAAUGAUCCUAAUAAAAAUAUCGUUUGAUAAGUUGGAUUCUUAUUCGGGUGUUAGUAUAAGCCGCAAAAUGAUUCAGCGAAAUAUCUGGGAAUACAUCUUGACUCACGACUUCACUGGAACAUUCAUGUACGCUAGAAAAAGUUGCAAAACAAACAAAUAAUGCACAAACUGUUGUGACUAGUUGGUUGACACUCCGAGGUAGUCUUAACCAGCAAACGUCUCUUGUAUGUAUCGAAUGUUAAACCGAUUAAGAUUUAUGAUAUUCGACUGUGGGGUUGUGCCAGUAAGUCCAAUAUCGAAAUAAUACAACGAUGCCAGAUGAUUGAUUUUUGUACCAUUAUCGCAGCAUAUCGUUAUGAUAAGAACGACAUAAUUCACUGCGAUUUGAAAAUGUCAUCCGUGCAGGAUAAAAUUACCCAGUUUGCUCGCAAACAUGCAAGAAACUGGAGCUCCACACAAAUGCGGCUGCCAAAAAGCUCCUCGACUACUCGAAGGACAUCAGACAACUCAAUCGACUAAAACGAUUUGACUUAGUCUAAUUAUUAGAUUAAGAAUGGGGCUGCUUCACUGGAAGUAAAACCCCACACAAGUUUUGUGUAUAUAUUCUUUAUUGUAGGCAUAAAUACUUUUAUUGAUUUUAAUUUAUAAGGAUUCUUUUAUCGUUUAAAUAAAAAAAAAAACUCAAUUUUACCGUAAAAUGAAUUAUUUUAGGUUAUUUUUCAAACUGUUUCGAUUUGUUUGAGCGCAUUUAAAUUCAAACGGGAACGUCAUUGUUCUAACUUUUGAUAACUAGUUUAAACACACAUUGUAAACUUGUUUAUUAUUCUAUAUUCCACUCUCCACACAUGUUCCAUCUAGCUAAGACUUCACCUUUUCAUGACACCUACUUUAUCAGUUUCGUUAAAUGUUUGCCUUUAUACUGCGUUUGUCCUUUUCUUUAUCCUUUAUUUAUAUUUAUUGUUUUCAUUGAUCUUUUUAUGGCCGAAUAUCCUCUUUAGUAUUUUCUUCUCAAAUAUCAUUAGUUUCUUUUAGUCCCCUUUUAUUGAUUCCCACCCCUGCACUUAUAAAUAUAUAUUUAUAUAAUACAUUUAUUUAUUUUUUUUGGCAACCAGUUUAUUAAUAAUUUCAAUUGACGAAGUCUCAAAAACUAUAUUUUAUGUAUUUAUAUGAAAUGUGAACUGUAUUAAUAAACCUGAAGUAGUCUUAUAAAAUAACUUGUGGUAUUUAAAAUUUUAUUUUUGUCUUUACUCUAGGGAAAUGGAAAAGUAUGUGCGUUUUUUAAUAUUUUAUGUAGUUUUUAACAUUAAUCGGACUAAACUUUUGUAUUCUUAACUUGUGUAAAGUUCGUAUGAUACGUGUCCUUAAAAAUACGCCCGUUUUGUUCAUUAUUAUUAAUAAAUUCGUCAUAAUAAUUUUCUUUAGGUAUCGGUCCGACUACUUGCCCCUUUUAUAUUAUUCUUACAAGUAAAACUUUGAUAUUUAAUAGAAUAAAAAAACUUUACCUAAUAGGUUAGGUUAAAGAGGUUUGGUAUGGGUGUUAUAACCCUUUACCUCCUCUAACUCUACCCCUAAUAUAAGAAUAAAUGAUUGGUUUUCAUUUGAAGAUGAACGAUAUAAUGACAUUAGAGAGCUAGUAAAUCAAUAAGUUAGUUAGGUUUUUCUUAGAUUCCAUGAAAACCGCAUAGAAAAUUUAAUAGAAUCCUCAAUAACUACCAUAUGAACAAUAUUUCCAUUCAGCAAAGGUGCUAUGCGAAUACAUCAGAGCAGGAUUUCAAGAAGAAUUUUUGUAUGUAGAACAAAAAAAUAAAUAAAAAAUAUCGUUGUAAAUAAAUAAUUUCCAAAUUGAAAGCAAAAAUUCAUUUUCUAAAUUCUGAGUGGAUGAGUCUUUUUCUACUACAAAAAUUAUGAAAAAAGCACAACUAUUAUCAUUCAAAUUAAUCAAAAGCAUAAUAUAUCAUUAAAAACUUAUACAACAGUUUAGUUACAGUCAUAAGUAUACAAUAGACAAAUACUAUCCUGAAUCAUGAAAUCCACACACAGUGCCAGUAUAUUCGUAUUAUAUUAACUAGAUGCACAGAAAAACAAGAAAAAUAUAAAAUAAGCUACGAUAUUCAAAAUUAUAUUAAAUUUUUUUCUAUCUAGGGCGAGAAUCUAGUAAGCAAAAAGGUAAGUAUUAUUUUUGAUUUAAUAAGGUUGUACAGUACUAGAAAGGAAAUUAUGUAACUAAUUAAAACUAUAUGCAGGGUGAGUUAAUAAGCCUGUUAAAUGGGUACAAAUCUCGAAAUAUUUUAUUUUCUACGAUGAGCUCAAAAUGGUUUAAGUUUUUUAUUAUAUUUUUAUUUUAUUAUUUUAAUGAAAAUUAUAAAUAAUUAGGGUUAUUAAAGAGCAAUUGAAUUUCAAGGAAAAUAUAAAAAUUAAUUCAAAAAUCUUAACAAUUUCUCGAAUUAUUCUAACAUUCUACCAUUUUUAGUAAAGUAAAUAUACAUUUUCUGUCAACAUUUUUAAUUUCUACGAAUAUUUUUACUGAAAUGCAACUAUACAAUAAUUACAUUACGUAGUUUAAAAAAAAUAAAAAUAAAACAUCAUAGUAAAUCAAUAUAUUCCCAUAACUCUCAAAAUCUCAUUAUUUUAAACUCGGUGUGGAAUGUGUCAUUUUGUACAAUAAAAAUAAUGAACUGCACACAGUUAUUAGCAUAUAUGUUAUUAUCAAAUGCAUAUUAUAUCAAUGAAACUAAAACUGCAGUAUUGCCAACAAUAUACUCGACUGAAAUACUAUUAUAAAUCGUUGUAUAUAAAAACAGAAACAAUGUAUUUUCAUUGAAUUAGUUGCAUAGAUAAAUAAGUAAAAUAUAAAAUAAGCUGUGAUAUCUAAAUUUUUUUUUCUAGCGCCACAAACUAGUGGGACACAGGGUAAUUGAUUAUUUGUUUUUUAAUAUAUUAUGUAGUAUUAAAAAGAAAUUAUAUAACUAAUUAAAACUAUAUACAGGGUGAGUUAAUAAGCCUGUAAAAAUGGGUGCAAAUCACGCAAUAUUUUAAUUUCUACGAUAAGCUCAAAAAGGGUUUAAGUUUUUUAUUUUAUUUUUAUUUUUUUAUUUUAAUGUAAAUAAUAAAUGCUUAGGGUUAAUAAAACCAUUGAAUUUCAACCAAAUAAUGAAAAUUAAUUCAAAAAUCUUAAAAAUUACUCGAAUUAUUUUAACAUUCUACCAUUUUUAGUAAAGUAAAUAUACAUUUUCUGUCACCAUUUUUAAUUUCUACGAAUAUUUUUAAUGAAAUGCAACUAUACAAUAAUUACAUUACGUAGUUUAAAAAAAAUAAAAAAUAAAAUAUCAUAGUAAAUCAAUAUAUUCCCAUUACCCUAAGAAUCUUAUUAUUUUAGACUCUGUGUAGAAUGUGUCAUUUAGUACAAUUAAAAUAAUGAACUGCACACAGUUAUUAGCAUAUAUGUUAUUAUCAAAUGCAUAUUAUAUCAAUGAAUCUAAAACUGCAAUAUUGCCAACACUAUACUCGACUGUAAUACUAUUAUAAAUCGUUGUAUAUAAAAACAGAAACAAUAUAUUUUGUAUUAAAUUAAUUAUUUGUAUUAACUACAAUAUUUUGUGGUGGAUUUGCACCGUAGUUUAUAUUUUCAAACAUUGUUAUUUUAUCAGAUUACGUGUACCCACUUAAAAUAAGUUUGUUUAUAUAAACUUACCAUACAUCCGAGGUCGUUUUUUGCAUAAUAAACAUUUACACAAAAAAAGAAUGACUGAUUGUCAUGUUAAAGCACUUUACGCUUUUGAUUUGCAUGCUUUUGCUUGUUCGGUGAACAAUUCGUAACUUGCCAGUAUAUAUGUAUUAAAUUGAUAAGCUGUAUAGAUAAUAAACAAAAUGUAUAGUUAGUUGGGCUAUUCAAAAGUAAAGCAAUUUAUUUUUCUAUUAGGACCUAAUACGGCACAACGUAAGUGAUUUUUUUUUUUAAUUAUUCUAUGCAGUUAUAAAAACAAAAUAAAUAACUAAAUAAUACCUUAGACGAGGGUAUUCACUCUCGAAAACGGCGUGUUUUAUGCCUACUAAUCUCGCUAAAUUAAAUGUCGAUUAUUAGGUAACAAAUAAGUUAUUAUAUUUUUUUUUUUUUAACUUUACUACAUUUAGAAUAGGUUAAUAUAAAUUUUUUUCUGAAUUUCGUGUUCAUAAUAUCGAUAUGGAUAUUUUUAAUUGAAUUCCAACAAAUUAUUUUUAAAAAUGGCUUUUAUAAGGCUUAUAAAAAGGCAAUUAUAAGGUUUCUUUCUAAAUUUCUUAUAUAUACGAAUAUUUUUAACUGGAUUACAACUAAUAAUAAAAAUUGAAAAAAUAAUAAAAGCACAAAGGGAGUUCUAUUGAAGUUAUGAGUUUAAACCACCAAUGACGCAAGAGACGGAGGAGCACCACCACUUCAACAAUUACCCGUUCAGUCAUUCCUAUAUUGUACUUAUAGCUGAUAAAUACAGCUGAAUCUUAAUCCGGGUUUGGUGUCGCAACGACACUACAUAAUACUACGAUUAUAAAAUGAUACCGAGUUUAUGCAAAAAAUUAAUAAAAACUAAACCUGACCUAACGUAACCUAAUCCAAACACAAACUUCAAAGGACGUCCUAGUAUAACGGGGACUGAUAGUUAUUAUUUGUAGCCAUUAUUAUAGAUAAUUUAAUGUAUACCUCUAAGCAAUGAUAAACCAUUGCUUACAAAAAACAAUUCUGAGUGGAGUUUAGUUGAUAAUGAUAAUUUGUUAACAACCUAAACGAAGGCUAAUCAAAAAGUAUCAAGGCUUGUAGUAUCAUUGAGCAUCGAAGAGCAGUAGAAUUAAUGUUACUUACUUCUAUGACUUUUUGUGGGUACUUUUGUUUUUAUUGAUUCCCUAUAAAUUUGUUCGGUUUAAUUCCACCGAUAUUUUUGUAAAAAUAUUUUUGAGUUUGUGAUUUUGUAAUGAAUCUAAAAGAAAAGCAAUUUGAUAGUUUUGAAUAGUUGAUGGUGAUACUUUGUCAACAAUAUAUAUUAUGUCAUUUUAUAGUAAAAUAACUAAAUAUAUUUUAUGUAUUUUCCUUAAUAAUAAUUGUUUAAUUUUAUACUAAUUUUUCCAGUUUUUCUACGUUUUUCCCGUUUUUCCCAUGUUUCAUCCUGUGUUUUCAUAUUUUCUAGGAAAACUCAUGGGCAGAUCGAAAAAUUACCUUUCUAAUCAUUGAAAAUUGGAGCCAAAUUGUUUGUAGAAAUUUAUCUACAGGAAAAAAGAAGGCCGUAAUAUAUUUUAACCAAUACCUAAAUUUCUUACAUUUUUCCGUUUUUCCUCUGUUGUUUAUCGGUUUUUCAAAUCUGAUGAAAAAACUGUAAAACUCGAAAAUUGUCGACUCUAAAAUACAUCCAUAUUGAAAUUUAUUUUUAGAAAAGUUGCUUUCAUUAUAAAUCGGAACAAAAUUGCUUGUUGAAAAAAUAUCAUAAUAUUUUAUUAACAUAUUUCGUACAUUUUCCCGGUUUUCUUUUAAUACUCCCCCUUAAUACCUCCUCAUAGUGAUUUUCUUUCAGUAAAGAUGCUACACUUAAAAAUUUGAGCAUGUCUUCAAGUAAAAGAGUUGCGCAAAAAAAAAUAACAUAAAAAAUAAUAACAAUAAGAGUCCAACAGCCAUUUUAAAUUGUACUAAUCCNAUUUGCUUUCAUUAUAAAUUGGAACAAAAUUGCUGGUUGAAAAAAAAUCAUAAUUUUUUAUUAACAUAUUUCGUACAUUUUCCCGUUUUUCUGAUAACACUCCCCUUAAUACCUCCAUAAAGUGAUUUUCUUUCAGUAAAGAUGCUACACCUAAAAAUCUGAGCAAGUCUUCUAAUAAAAAAGUUGCGCACAAAACAAUAACAUAAAAAAUAAUAACAAUAAACAUCCAACGGCCAUUUUAAAUUGUACUAAUCCACAUAAAAACCGAUGUUACCAAAGGAUUUUAGAGAAUAACAUAAUUGUACAUGUAGAAAUUAAAGCGGCAUUGAAAUUAUUCGUCGGAUAUAAAAUUGUGAUACAUUAAAUAUAAAUAAACUCUGCAAAAGGGCUAUCUUCAAAUUUUUCGAAAAUAAUGCAAUUUUUACAAAAAAAAAACAAAAUUAAAUUCAAAUAUAGAUAUUCAUAAUUCUCAUCUCUGUGAGUAGCAUAAAAAUAAAAUUUGGUUAUAUUUUUAUCUUCAGAGAUAUUCAAAGGGUAUAUCUUCGUGGAACAGCCUGUAUAUAAGAGUAUGAUAUCUAGUAGAUUUCUUGUACACAGUAUAAUAAAAGAAAAAAAAGCAUCAAAGUAAAACCAAUACAUCCGUCAUUUAACUCAAUUUUUUUUUUUUUGAUUCUGAAUGGAAUUAACUUCUUAUACAGUAAAAAUUAUGAAAUACAUNUCAUGUUUGUUAUAAUCAAAUGCGUACUAUACCACAGUACUACAAUUUAGCCAACAUUGUAGUUUAGAAAAAUACUAUCCUGAAUCGUGGUAUCUGUACAUAGAGCCAGUAUAUUGUAUCAAAUUGAUUAGUUGCAUAGAUAAAUAACCAAAUUAUAAAAUAAGUUGCGAUAUUCAAAAUUAAAUUGAAUUUUUUAUUUUCUAGAGCCAGAAUCUAGUACGCAACAGAGUAAGUAAUUUUUUUUUUAAUAUUCUUCACAGUUUUAAAAAAAAAAAAUAGGUAACAAAAUAAAACUAUAUACAAAGUGAAUUACNAUAUUUAUAUCUAAUUUAUUAGUUGCAUAGAUAAAUAAGCAAAAUAUAAAAUUAGUUGCGAUAUUCAAAAUUAAAUUGAAUUUUUUAUUUUCUAGAGCCAGAAUCUAGUACACAACAGAGUAAGUGAUUUUUUUUUUAAUAUUCUUCACAGUUUUUCAGAAAAAAAAAUAGGUAACUAAAUAAAACUAUAUACAAAGUGAAUUACAAAGCCUGUCCUAUACGUACAAAUCUCGCAGUAUUCAAAUGUCUAUGAUUAGCUAAAAAAUAGCUUAAAUUAUUAUUUUUAAUCUCACCAUGUCCAGAAAUAUUUAAUGUAAAAUUUGUUAAAAUUUUAAGUCCAUAAAAUUGAUACGAAUAUUUAUAAUUUAAUAAGUUGUUUAUUAUUUUAACUUUUUCAAAACAUCAUAAGUUUAUAAAUAGAAAUAUGUAUUAUUUAUUAUUCUGUACUUUUUCCAAAAUAGCAAUAAUUUUCAGUGUCACUGGAAUAUACGAGUAGUAUAGAAUGUAUAAUAAUAUAAUUUUGGGUCCGCAAAAUUGUUUUUUACAAUACAUUUUUCAUUGGACAACCACAUCUACAUCUAUAAGUUUUAUCUAGCUAAUCGUCGGGGUAUUAAAUAUUUUAAUAAAUUGUUUAAUCNUUAUAACUAAAAAAAACAUUAAAUAUACAAUAAGCUAUGAUUUUUAAAUAUUCAUUCUAGGGAACAAAAGUAAGUGCAUUUUUUAAUAUUCCAUGUAGUUUUCAAUAUCCGUCUAAUUUUAAAACUUUAUACUAGGAAAGUUAAGUAUCAAUUUUUUUAGUAGAAGAGUAUAACUAAUAAAUUUAUAACUGGUUUGAUUUUUAUUUUGCGUUAAAAUUGGUUUCAUGCACUCAGCAAGAUUUAAAACUGGUUUAAACUUUAAAUAGGUUUUACACAUUAAACCAGAUUCUAAACUAGGAUUGACUCCAUACUCUAUCCUGUAUAAACAUUGAUUAUUUAGUUGCAUUUGAAUUAGUUCCCAAAAUGUUUUUUUGUAUCAAUUUCAAUUUUCCUUCUCAUUAUAUACAGAUUUAGAACCUUUAAAUUAAUAAUUUAAUAUAAUAUCAAGAGUCUCGUUCAAUAUUUUGGGUAACGUUAGUUCUAUGCUAUACUGACUAGCAUUCUAUUUCUAUAUGUUGAGCAUUUAUGAUUUCAAUAUCAAAUUUAAUCAACUCACAGUUAAUAGUUUUUGCUGGACGUUCAUGUAUUCAAAUAUUAUCAAGAGACAUAUUUUAUGGAAAUUAAGUUUCUAAUUUCCUAGAACGACAAAAUUCCGAAAAUUUAGGUUCUGUCUAAAUAAUUAGAAUACGAUAUCUUAGACUCAAGUUUCACUGAUUUAUGUAAUGCACUAAUGUUGCAUAGUCUGAAGUAAUGUUUGUUGUAAUUCAUAUUUAAUACUUAUUGUAAAUUGGACUCUCGCAUUUUUUAAAGUUGCGUGCAUUUUUAUGUGAAUUAUUGCUGUCCUAUUACAAUUUUUUUUUUCUCUAGGGAUAAGAUCUGAUGAUGGUAAGUGAUUUCUUUUUAAAUUCCAUGUAAUUUUCAGUAUUAUUCAUACUCUCGUUCUAUAAAAGAAAUUAUAUGAAACUCAGAAUAUAUUAUUAGAAACAAAAAUAAAUAACAAAGAUAAAAAUCAUAAUUUUUUAAAGUUGCGUGCAUUUUUAUGUGAAUUAUUGCUGUCCUAUUACAAUUUAGAAAAAAUUACACUCUUUUAAACUCUUUAAAUUUGUCGACGACUUGAUCACAAUCAUAUUUUCAUCAUCCCUAUUGAUUAUAAACGUAUUAAAAAUUAUUAUACCUUCUUCCCCAAUAAAAUUGAAAAGCAUAGCCGUCUUACCUAACUCAUGUUUUAGAAGCCUUUCUGGUUUGCUAAUAAAAAUAUUUUGAAUUUUAGAACCAAACUUUGUAGUUGUUAGCUAUAUUACCGUCAAAGUACUGCCUAGGCACCACAUGUUGUAUCGACAAUUUCGUCAUAUUGCAAUUCUUUUUAGUUAAUAUUAUAAUUUUAAAUCUAACACCAUGUUUUGUAUUUUAUUAAGUAGAAGAUGUACGUUCUCUUUAAGAACAGAUCCCUUUAUUUAUUGUGUAACAAAUACGACAUAACCAACAAAAGCAAGGCGGGAAUUUUUUGCACGUGGGUGAGCCAUUGUUGUAGAUGAUUUGUUGGGAAGGUAGAGAAGAAAUUUAAUGUAUAUCUAUACGCAGUGAUUAAUCAUUGUUAACGAAAAACAAUUCUGAGUGGUGUUCAGUUAAUUGUAUUGCUUUGUCAAUAAUAUACAAGUCACAUUAUGGUAAAAUAAUAACAAUAUGUGCAUUAAAAUUUUCUUUAAUAAUACUUGUUUGAUAUUGUAUUUAUUUUACCGUUUUUUUCCGGUGUUUCACAUUUAUUGGGAAAACUACUGGGCAAAUCUAUAAAUUAUGUCCUUAAAAUACUAUUAAGAUAAAAUUUCCUUUUAAAAAAUGUGCUACACUUGAUAUACCGGUGCAAGACUUCUGGUAGAAAAGAUUGACCCACAAAUUAAGGGGUAAUUUUCGAUUAAAAAAGUUCGAUCAAGCGCAAGCUUGGGUCUCUAAAUAUACCCGAAAUACCUUUGUCUUUUACCUAUUUAGGUAAAGGGGAAAAAACAAAUGCAAUCAAUUUUCUCGGAAUACGAGUAUAAACUCGUGAUCUCUAGGGUAACGAUAGGUAAACAGUAAACUACGAAAGUCAUAAUAUAAUAUUGACAAUAUUAAGUUAUUUAACAUAGCAUAUAGUAUCCACAUAAUAUCAGAACUUUAAAAAGUUAUAAUUUUGAAACUAGGUCAAUACGCUCAAUUCUGAAUUCACCAUCAAUACUAAAUUGGAAAAAUACGUAUGUUUAAAACGAACAAUUGAAAAAUUAGAUUUGUGCUAAAUAAUUUUUUACUUAAACGAUUUUCGUUAAAAUUUGAUAUAGAAAUUCCUAUAGUAACAAAAAAUAUUGCAAUAAACUCAAUCUUUUUUUGAUGACAAAGUAACUUUUAUUGACCCUCAUGUUAAAUAUUCAAGUCUCUCAAAACUACCAUCAGGACAAUGUUUUCUUUCGGAAAUGUUACCGCACGUAUAUAUCGGAGCAAAAUAUCUCGUAGAAUUUAUGUACGCAUUUAAAAAAUAAAUAAAUAAAUAUUAUAGUAAACCAAUACAUUCCUCAUUACAAUACUACAGUUUAGCUAACAGUAUACUCUACAAAUACUAUCCUGAACCGUAAAAUUUGCACACAGAGCCAAUAUUUUUGUAUCAAAUUAAUUAUUUGCAUAGACAAAUAAACAAAAUACAAAAUUAAUUGCGAUAUUAAAAAUUAAAUUGAGAUUAUUUUUUUCUGGUGCCAGACCCUAGUGAGCAAUCGGGUAAGUGAUUUUUUUUUUAUGUUCUAUGCAAAUUUAAAAAGUAAAUAGUUAAAUAAGGUACAGAUAUCACAAAAUGAAAAUGUCUAUAUACAGCUCAAAAAUGGCUUAAAGUUUUUUUAAACUUACCACGAAAAGAUAAAUAUAAAUUUUUUGUUCAAAUUUCAAUUCUCUGCGAAUAUUUUUAACUGAAUUACAAAAAAUAAAAAAUUAAGAUAGUAAGAGCAAUAAUUUAAUAAAGUUCACGUUUUUCUUAAGUUUUAUCUUAGUUUUUCCUAAACAUUAUAAAAUCCGCCUGGAAAAUCAAAAAUAACAUCAUAAUAAACCAAUACAUUUCUCAUUCCACUCUAAAUUUCAUGUUUUAGAUUUUAAGUCAAAUGAGUCUUUUGGUAGAGUAAAAAUAAUGAAAUCACAGUUAUUAUUAUUCAUGUUAUAAUCAAAGGCAUAUAAUACCGUUAAAACUAAUACUACAGUUUAGACAACAGAAUACUCUAGACAAAUACUAUCCUGAUUCGUGGUAUCUACACACAGUGCCAGUAUAUUGUAUUAAAUUAAUUAGUUGCAUUUAUAAAUAAGCAAAUAUAUAUUUAGGUGCGAUAUUUAAAAUUAAAUUAAAAUUGACUGUAAUAAAUAUGGUAUAAUAUAAAUGUAGUAAAUAGAAAUACAGCCUGUAUAUUAUUAACCAUUUUGUAUUAAAUUAUUUAGUCGGAAUGUUAAAUAACUAAAUUAACAAACAGUAAUUUUAUUUAAAAUAAUUUAAAUUUUCUUUUUCUAGCGAAUACUAGUAAAAAAUUCGAGAAUAUGCCACGUAAGUGAUUAUUUUUAUUAAUAUGACAUGCAUUUUUUAAAGUAAAUAGGUAACUGAAUAAAAACUAUAUACAGGGUGAUUCACUAAGCGAACUCUAUGAGUAGAUAUCUUGCAAAAUUAAAAUAUCUGUAAAUUGCUAAAAAAUUGUUAAAACUGUGUUUAAAAUUUCACCACAUCUAAAAAAUCUUCAUGUAAAUUUUUGUUUAAAUUUUAUGUCUAUAAAAUCGAUACAAAUAUUUUUUAUUUAAUUUUAACAAAAAUAUUAAAAUUUGUAUACAAAACUUAAAAAUUGAUCAAAUGAUAUGAAAAUUGUACAUGUUUAGAAUAAGUAAAUGUAAGUUUUCUGUUUAAAUUUAAAAUCUUUAAAGAUAUUUUUAACCAAAUUGGAAACAAUAACAAAUAGAUGUAUUUGUAUUUUUUACACCCCAAAUAAUUCUGAAACCAAGAUUUUUCUCUCUUUUUUCCAGUAAAUUUUUGCAAAAUAUACAAAAUCCAAACUAUCUACCUUAAAGUAUUUUCCAGUCAAAUUGGUUUUCAGAAAAAGUUCUACCAUUGUAAAUCCAAGUAAAACUACAUGUAAAAAGUAUUUAUAGAAAAAAAAAAAAGGUCAUAAAAUUUAACUAUACAUUCGUAAAUAUAAAUCAUAAUUUUAACCUCUACGUCAUAGUUUAGGGUUUUUUAAGUUUAAAAUGUAUGGAGUAGAACGAUUAUUUUCAUGUCUUAUUUUGUAUCAUACUUAGCUUAAUAAAAUUGCAGUCAGUCGAGAAGGUUUUUUACUAGGUAUGACUUAUAACAAUGAAUCUUCCACAUUUUAUCGAUCCUUUUUUUUCUAAUCUUUAUUAACUCUUUUCAUUUAUUAAGUUACAUUCUUACAAUUUAUCAGGUAUUAACCAAAGUGUUAGUAAAUGAGUAUAUUAGUUGUAUAGUUAGAUUAGGUAUAUUUUUAGUAUUUAUUCCUGUGAAUAAUGUAAAAAACAAAAUUGGUUAUCUUUAUUAUCGUUAGAGAUGUUAUAAUACAAUAACUAGGUAUAUCUUAGUGAGACUCUGUAUUAUUUAUAACCAGUGUAGACUAAAUGUUGAUUUAUUAAAACUAACAGGUCCACGUGAAGGACAAACAGUAACUGGUAAGUUUUUAUUUUUCUUUAAUACCGUGUUUUUUUCAAAGUUUGAUUAUAUUUUUUAGAUGCUGUUGUUGCGCAUGUCUUUAACACUUCAAGUAAAUUAUAACUAUAUAUUUUUAAGUAUAUUUUAUUUAACUGAUGAAAAUAAUUAAAUUUAAUCUCACAAUUCAAACCG